AGCUUAGCGCAGUGGCGAUAUCGUAACCAAAGAGGUAAAACCGAGGUGCGAUUAUGACUAGUUGAAAAUAACUUAUUAAAUUCGUCAAAACAAAGCAUGUUAACAACUUGUCAAAGUUUGCUUAUGCCAUAACUUCUUUUCUGUUUUGUAUGAAAAUCAAUGAACUUCGUAAUCUAU
Molecule: small nuclear RNA, 177 nt
Organism: Aedes albopictus (Asian tiger mosquito)
Lineage: Eukaryota; Metazoa; Arthropoda; Insecta; Diptera; Culicidae
Product: U4 spliceosomal RNA
Exons: 1
Source: RefSeq, a predicted model, not a curated record